RNAcentral lists this small nuclear RNA (21 nucleotides) under Arabidopsis thaliana (thale cress). RNAcentral describes it as "snRNA_06644". The record is from RNAcentral. Lineage: Eukaryota; Viridiplantae; Streptophyta; Magnoliopsida; Brassicales; Brassicaceae.
GAAGGAUGUUCUGACAAUCAA